AUGAUGCUAAAACCAAGGUAUGCCAUUCCCAAAUUCUCUCCUAAUCCUAUUCUAACUUCUUCUACAUUGUUUCUUUAUCGCUUCUUCAGUCAUUUGCAACGCCACUAUGGUAGAAAAAGUUCUGGGUUUCAUAAUGUAGAUGCUGCUGUUACUCGUUUCAAUUGCUUGAUUCGCGCACUUUCUCCGCCACCCACUUGUGAAUUUGACAAGGUUUUAGGAGCUAUUGUGAGGAUGGGUCAUUAUCCCACUGCAAUUUCUCUUUUUUCGCAGUUUCAACUUAGGGGAAUUUCACCUUCCAUUGCUACUUUCAGCAUCUUGAUUAACUGUUUUUUUGUCAUCAAUCUCAUAUGGGUUUUGCUUUUUCGUUAUUGGGUACCAUUAUUAAGAGUGGCUAUGAACCUAACAUGGUGA
Molecule: non-coding RNA, 411 nt
Organism: Vicia faba (fava bean)
Lineage: Eukaryota; Viridiplantae; Streptophyta; Magnoliopsida; Fabales; Fabaceae
Source: the annotation of a GenBank genome assembly